UGUUUCCAGGCUCUUGCAUCUGAUGGAUGAGUCAUCUCACCAUCCGUUUGAGUAUGCUCGACAUGCCAUCUCAUCUUUCCAGCAGUCUGCUCUGAUUGGUACAAUCUUUUCAACCUGUCUGUAAUUGGUAGGUACCGCAUCCUUUGGUACGGUAUCCUAUUACGUCCCCGUCCUUGCGGCUUGAAUCGUGGCUUCUUGCAGAAUCAACAUUCUUCUAACUUCUCAUCAUCUCCCCAGUAGAUCAUGCAGUUGUCGAUACAAACAUCUAUCAUCUCCGAAGGGAAUCCAAGACUAUAAACCAGU
Molecule: long non-coding RNA, 303 nt
Filed under: Brassica napus (rape)
Lineage: Eukaryota; Viridiplantae; Streptophyta; Magnoliopsida; Brassicales; Brassicaceae
Description: long non-coding RNA (BNAP_LNC010838)
Source: RNAcentral